GAAAAAAAAAAGGCUAAAAAAAAACCCAGUGAUUCUAUGUUUUCACAGUAAAAAGAAACCUAUUCCCACUGUCAUCAUAUUGUUCGGGAUAAGUAGGAGACGGUGAAACAUCGUGAUAAAGAUGUUGGUUGUAACGAAUCCAGUGACGACGAUGAUUUUGAAGCAGGCACAAGAAAAAGAAAACUGGGAAGAAAACUGAAGACCCAAUAACAAGUAAAGAUUGUGCUGAAGCAGGCAAAAACAAGAGCAACAAAACAGAUACAACAAAGCUUUUUAGAGCAAAUUUUGGCCAUUUGCAUGACCUCUUCCGUGACCUCGAAAAUAGGGGUAACUGCUAACCAAGGAACUGAUAGUAGCUCUUGAGGCGACACGGUUUCCUGACAUGCUUCGAGUGUUCAUUGAUAAUAAGAUUAGUAAAGAGGAGUUAUCUAAGAGUUACCAUGGUCUAGAAAUGCAAAUGUAUGGAUUCAGAAUCAGUUGGCCUCAUCUUAUUCAUAAUUCCAUGAUGGAAAGAAAGCAUUGAAUCCUGCAAGGGGGAUGUUAAACUUAUCACCAGAUGCAGUUUCUAUCUGUUGUAUUGGUUUGCGGAACGUUCCUCAUUGGUUAGAAAAAGGGGAGGCGCAGAAACAAUAGUCCCCAUAUUUGCAAGAUGGGAUUCUUGGAAUAUCUUGAAUGCGAUUUCGGUACUCAAAAAAUUCCCUUACAAACUGUCAGAGGUGUAACGUGUAACAAUUCAAAUUUUCACGAGACUAAAAUUUCACAUAAAAAUCAUGCCUUCAUUUUUUCCGAAUGUUGAAAUUUGGUCAUGAUUUUACAAUUCCGUUGGAUGAUGCCGAAAGGAAGUUGAUAAAUCCUACAGAGCAACAAUUAAGGUUGGAAACAGUGCAAGCGAGAGUAUGAAUAUGGAGAAGGAGAAUGUUGCUUUGAUUAUGAAAAGGAAGAUGGGAUUAACACACUUUGUAAAAUUCAAGUGAGGUUUCCUAGUGAAAAGAAUAGGUUGAUAGUGUUAGCCCAGGUCUUCCGCAAGACACUUUGCUAGCUACUGCAGUUGUUACAGAGUCCAAGUAAUCCAGUCAGGUCUUUGCUAUUUACUAGGAUCAUAACAAAUUUCUGUUUCACAAUGUACUCGCGUAUUACUAUAAAUAACAGUUCAAUCUCCACUA
Long non-coding RNA from Papaver somniferum (opium poppy), 1163 nucleotides. RefSeq lists it as uncharacterized. The transcript is spliced from 4 exons. The record is from RefSeq and is a predicted model, not a curated record. Lineage: Eukaryota; Viridiplantae; Streptophyta; Magnoliopsida; Ranunculales; Papaveraceae.